AGUGAACGCUGGCGGUAGGCCUAACACAUGCAAGUCGAACGGCAGCACAGUAAGAGCUUGCUCUUACGGGUGGCGAGUGGCGGACGGGUGAGGAAUACAUCGGAAUCUACUUUUUCGUGGGGGAUAACGUAGGGAAACUUACGCUAAUACCGCAUACGACCUACGGGUGAAAGCAGGGGAGCUUCGGACCUUGCGCGAUUGAAUGAGCCGAUGUCGGAUUAGCUAGUUGGCGGGGUAAAGGCCCACCAAGGCGACGAUCCGUGGCUGGUCUGAGAGGAUGAUCAGCCACACUGGAACUGAGACACGGUCCAGACUCCUACGGGAGGCAGCAGUGGGGAAUAUUGGACAAUGGGCGCAAGCCUGAUCCAGCCAUACCGCGUGGGUGAAGAAGGCCUUCGGGUUGUAAAGCCCUUUUGUUGGGAAAGAAAAGCAGCAGGUUAAUACCCCGCUGUUCUGACGGUACCCAAAGAAUAAGCACCGGCUAACUUCGUG
Molecule: ribosomal RNA, 492 nt
Filed under: uncultured bacterium
Lineage: Bacteria
Description: partial 16S ribosomal RNA
Rfam family: Bacterial small subunit ribosomal RNA
Source: RNAcentral